Molecule: transfer-messenger RNA, 367 nt
Filed under: uncultured Bulleidia sp.
Lineage: Bacteria; Bacillati; Bacillota; Erysipelotrichia; Erysipelotrichales; Erysipelotrichaceae
Rfam family: transfer-messenger RNA
About the family: Bacterial tmRNA, also known as 10Sa RNA or SsrA, is named for its dual tRNA and mRNA-like properties. Its role is to liberate the mRNA from a stalled ribosome.
Source: RNAcentral
GGGGGUGUAAUGGUUUCGACAGGUUAAUGUCUGAUUCAGACUGCAGUGGAGUGAUGACCAUAUCAUCAGUUAAAUUUAAACGCAAACAACACAAACAGAAACUACGGUUUCGCUUUCGCUGCCUAAUUGCACUCGUAAGUGCUGCAGCGCACCGGCUUUUGUCUUAUUCCAUUUGAUGGAAGCUGCGUAUUGAAAAUGGAUAAGGUGACCCUGAUGCCUGUAAGGUGAUCCCGACAAAUCACAGGCACAUUCAGUGACGGUAUGUCUGAUGGACAUGUCACUGUCUUAUCAACCAUCGGACUAAACUGUAGAUGUCUGAAUGUGGGGCUUCUCUUGGACAGGGGUUCAAUUCCCCUCAUCUCCACCA